GCCCUCUGCCCUUAGACCCUCACACCCUCCAACUCCCCCGAAAAAAACCCUGUAACGGAGGGAGAAUGACAUCGGAUUUUGAAGGUUAUUCUGGACCACAUACGAUACUAUGACGUUUUUGUGACAUUCUGGACAAGACCCCAACCCCCGGGCCACCCUCCAUCCCUGUUGCACCAUCUCGUCUCAUUGCUGCCAUCAUAUACCCUUCUCCCAAACUCGACCCAUCCUCCCUGACAGACUGUAGAUUUCACCAUUCAACUGUCUUCAGCUCCACCAUCUGCCUGACUUCAAGAAGCACCAUCGAGUCUUUUCUGACCAACAGCACCUCAGUGUAGCAAGCCAGCUGCACACCCGCAGAGAGUUACACACUCCAUUGUGUGGUGAUGGCGGAUCAGUGCUCCAUGGACCGGACAAUAUCUACUCCAACAAACUUAAAAAAAAAAGCCCACAGGUUCCUGAGAGACGUCACACACCCUGGCCACUCCAUGUUUGAAAGGGUACCAUCUGUCAGGAGGUUAAGGACAAUCAAAGCCAAGACAAACCGACUGAGACAGACUUUAAACCAAAGUUGUGUCCUACAUUGCCCCACCCCUAAUAUAAGUCAGUAUCAUAUAUGCAC
Non-coding RNA from Plectropomus leopardus (leopard coralgrouper), 619 nucleotides. NCBI's taxonomy places the organism in Eukaryota, Metazoa, Chordata, Actinopteri, Perciformes, Serranidae. The record is from RefSeq and is a predicted model, not a curated record.